CUUUCUCCGCCGGCGACCGGCGUACGGGUGAGUAACGCGUAUCCAACCUGCCCUUUACUAUGGGACAGCCCGUCGAAAGGCGGAUUAAUACCGUAUGUUGUCAUGUUGAUGCAUAUUUUCAUGACCAAAGGCUUCGGCCGGUAAAGGAUGGGGAUGCGUCUGAUUAGCUUGCCGGCGGGGGUAACGGCCCACCGGGGCGACGAUCAGUAGGGGUUCUGAGAGGAAGGUCCCCCACAUUGGAACUGAGACACGGUCCAAACUCCUACGGAAGGCAGCAG
RNAcentral lists this ribosomal RNA (278 nucleotides) under uncultured bacterium. RNAcentral describes it as "partial 16S ribosomal RNA". It matches the Rfam family "Bacterial small subunit ribosomal RNA", at positions 79 to 354 of the family's 1533-position model. The record is from RNAcentral.